UAGGGAAUCUUCCACAAUGGACGCAAGUCUGAUGGAGCAACGCCGCGUGAGUGAAGAAGGUUUUCGGACCGUAAAGCUCUGUUGUUGGUGAAGAAGGAUAGAGGUAGUAACUGGCCUUUAUUUGACGGUAAUCAACCAGAAAGUCACGGCUAACUACGUGCCAGCAGCCGCGGUAAUACGUAGGUGGCAAGCGUUGUCCGGAUUUAUUGGGCGUAAAGCGAGCGCAGGCGGAAGAAUAAGUCUGAUGUGAAAGCCCUCGGCUUAACCGAGGAAUUGCAUCGGAAACUGUUUUCUUGAGUGCAGAAGAGGAGAGUAGAACUCCAGUGUGUAGCGGUGGAAUGCGUAGAUAUAUGGAAGAAUACCAGUGGCGAAGGCGGCUCUCUGGUCUGCAACAUGACGCGAUCGAG
This 407-nucleotide ribosomal RNA is filed under the name uncultured bacterium. Its description in RNAcentral is "partial 16S ribosomal RNA". It matches the Rfam family "Bacterial small subunit ribosomal RNA", at positions 355 to 750 of the family's 1533-position model. The record is from RNAcentral.